UAAGUAUACCGGAAGGUGUGCUUGGAAACGAAAUGUAAUUUAAUUAAAAUCCCUUGCUUACACCAAGAAAAUACCUGAUAAACCCAGAUCAUUUCGAGCUGAACUUCUAGCCGCAACACCCCUCCUGUUGAACCAACAAUACCCACAACCUCUUAAAACAUUCUACCUCUCUAGUACAGGCGAUCGAAAAACUCCUCAGAGCUAUAAAUAGUACCGCAAGGGAACAAUGAAAUAGAAAUGAAAUAACACUAAAGCACAACUCAGUAGAGACUACCCCUCGUACCUUUUGCAUCAUGAUUCAGCAAGUCUAAUCAAGCAAAAAGAAUUACAGUUUGACCCCCCGAAACCAAGUGAGCUACUCCAAGGCAACUUAUCGAGUUAACCCGUCUCUGUAGCAAAAGAGUGGGGUGACCUUUGAGUAGAGGUGAUAAACCUACCGAACUUGGUGAUAGCUGGUUGCUCAAGAAACGGGUGUAAGCCCCACCUUAAACUUCCCUCACCACAUAUUAGUACCCCAAACGUUUAAGAGCCACUCAAAUAAGGUACAGCUUAUUUGACAAAGGACACAACCUACACUAUUGGGUAAUGCUCCGGACCCAAUGAACAAGUUGGCCUAAAAGCAGCCACCUUCUAGAUAGCGUCAAAGCUUCCUCAUAAAUCCACAAAAUACCUCAACAUCCACAAAACCCUUUAACACUAUUGAGCGAUUCUAUAUUCUAUAGAACCCCUUAUGCUAAAAUCAGUAACACGGAGCACCCCUCCUCUGCAGCGCAAGUGUACAUCAAAACGGACACACCACUGAUAAUUAACGCCCAUGAGCCUACAACGGUAACCUCACAAGAAAACCCCGCUACCCCAGCCCCGUUAACCUAACACAAGAGCGCCCCCAGAAAGAUUUAAAGAAGCGGAAGGAACUCGGCAAAACCUAACCCCGCCUGUUUACCAAAAACAUCGCCUCUUGAAAAAAUAAGAGGUCCAGCCUGCCCAGUGACCUAGUUCAACGGCCGCGGUAUCCUGACCGUGCAAAGGUAGCGUAAUCACUUGUUCUUUAAAUAAGGACUAGUAUGAAUGGCAUCACGAGGGUUGAACUGUCUCCCGCCUCUAAUCAGUGAAAUUAAUCCCCCCGUGAAGAAGCGGGGAUAAAACUAUAAGACGAGAAGACCCCAUGGAGCUUAAAACGACCGGCACCUGCUAACCCCCACAUUUAAGUUAAGCAUCCUGACCUUUAGUUUUCGGUUGGGGCGACCACGGAGAACAACCCACCCUCCACGCUGAAUGAUUUUAUCUAAGCUAAAAAUUUCCACUUUAAGCAUCAGCAUCCUGACACCCAUUGACCCAAUACAAUUGAUCAACGAACCAAGUUACCCUGGGGAUAACAGCGCAAUCCACUUCCAGAGCCCCUAUCGACAAGUGGGUUUACGACCUCGAUGUUGGAUCAGGGUAUCCCAGUGGUGCAGCCGCUACUAACGGUUCGUUUGUUCAACGAUUUAAAACCCU
RNAcentral lists this ribosomal RNA (1497 nucleotides) under Spicospina flammocaerulea. Its description in RNAcentral is "partial 16S ribosomal RNA". It matches the Rfam family "Bacterial large subunit ribosomal RNA", at positions 334 to 2597 of the family's 2925-position model. Lineage: Eukaryota; Metazoa; Chordata; Amphibia; Anura; Myobatrachidae. The record is from RNAcentral.